UUCAGAUCUGCAGUUUCAUUAUUAUAGAAGUUAGUGUUCUAAAAAGUCGAGUUAUGAUUUGAGCCUACUGUAAAGAACUCCACUACUUACUUUCCAUGAUGCCUUUGAAUGUUUCCUGCAAAAGAAAAUGGAAUGGAGCACAUUAAUUACUAUUGCAAUGGAAUGAAUACUGGAAUUCUAAGAGAAAAGGAACCUUAUGUGGGAAUACAUGAUCACAACCGGAAUGCAAAAUUGACUUGCCUAGUUUAGGACAUUAUGUUCCAAGUCAAUUUUAGAAUAUCGAUCAACACAUUUAUUCUCAUCUGUCUUUUUUGCAUGAAAAUGGACCUCUACCUGUAUGGAGCAUCGACAUGAGAGGUCUGGGCUCAUGUAACAAGUAAAAGGAAAGCCAGGCGAGUCAUGGUUGGUGGUAGGAUCCAAUCCAUGACCAAGCUUCGGGUCAUUGGGAUGAUUAGAGAGAUUUGGCAUGGAGGGUUCACAGCAGGGUCUAUCAAGGAUGGUCCAUUCAUACCUGACCUUCUUUAUAGCAAGUAGGAGAGCAUAACCACGUGUCUCUCUAGAAACAAGGCACCAUUAUGAUCCUGGGUUACUAAGCAAUUGGUGUCGCCAAUAGGAUGAAGAGCAUAUUUCAGAAAAGUGGCUGGAUCAGUUUCAAGACACAAUACCUGAAAAUCUGUUCUCCCACAUCCACGUAUCAAUAGAGCAUCACCAGUGAAUGCCAUCCGAGGUUGAGGCUGAUCAGGUCCAUCUCCUGUGACAUAGGUAACACAACCCGAUGUAUGGCCAGGUGUGGCACGAACCUGAAA
Long non-coding RNA from Populus nigra (black poplar), 806 nucleotides. RefSeq lists it as uncharacterized. The transcript is spliced from 2 exons. The record is from RefSeq and is a predicted model, not a curated record. Lineage: Eukaryota; Viridiplantae; Streptophyta; Magnoliopsida; Malpighiales; Salicaceae.